CCUACGGGAGGCUGCAGUGGGGAAUAUUGGACAAUGGGGGGAACCCUGAUCCAGCCAUGCCGCGGGUGUGAAGAAGGCCCUCGGGUUGUAAAGCACUUUCAGUGAGGAAGAACGCCUGGUGGUUAAUACCCAUCAGGAAAGACAUCACUCACAGAAGAAGCACCGGCUAACUCCGUGCCGGCAGCCGCGGUAAUACGGAGGGUGCGAGCGUUAAUCGGAAUUACUGGGCGUAAAGCGCGCGUAGGUGGCUUGAUAAGCCGGUUGUGAAAGCCCCGGGCUCAACCUGGGAACGGCAUCCGGAACUGUCAAGCUAGAGUGCAGGAGAGGAAGGUAGAAUUCCCGGUGUAGCGGUGAAAUGCGUAGAGAUCGGGAGGAAUACCAGUGGCGAAGGCGGCCUUCUGGACUGACACUGACACUGAGGUGCGAAAGCGUGGGUAGCAAACAGGAUUAGAUACCCGUGUAGUC
Molecule: ribosomal RNA, 465 nt
Filed under: Vreelandella stevensii
Lineage: Bacteria; Pseudomonadati; Pseudomonadota; Gammaproteobacteria; Oceanospirillales; Halomonadaceae
Description: partial 16S ribosomal RNA
Rfam family: Bacterial small subunit ribosomal RNA
Source: RNAcentral